GGCCAUCCCGUACCCGAUGACGUGAGCGCUGACAAGAUUAGGCAGCACCUGCACACCUUUUCUCUCUCUCUCUAACUUGUAAGGCCGUCCCCUUGAACAAUAAAGGGAGGCGCGCUCUCUCUCUCAAUCUAUCGAAGACUCUCGAACUCUCUCCAACACUUAGUGCAUGUUUGAGCCCCCAUCACUCUCGUCCACUCGAACUAGAGCACGACUGGGCCUCGAACACCCCCUUCUG
This 235-nucleotide long non-coding RNA is filed under the name Setaria italica (foxtail millet). Its description in RNAcentral is "long non-coding RNA (SITA_LNC003056)". Lineage: Eukaryota; Viridiplantae; Streptophyta; Magnoliopsida; Poales; Poaceae. The record is from RNAcentral.